Molecule: long non-coding RNA, 370 nt
Filed under: Nicotiana benthamiana
Lineage: Eukaryota; Viridiplantae; Streptophyta; Magnoliopsida; Solanales; Solanaceae
Description: long non-coding RNA (NBEN_LNC023656)
Source: RNAcentral
UAAGGCUCGGACGUGGAGCUGGCUCUAUUAAUCGAUAAGCAGCGGUUGCUUACCCACGGACACCUAAGCCUUCUAGGCAAGUGCAUAAAGAGAGAGGGGAGGUAGCUUCCAGAAAGAUAGAGUUAUCACACAAAGGCGAAAUGACUAAGAUCUUGCUUAACCAGAAGAUAGAAUCCUAUUGUUGAACUGGGGAGGCAGAAGGAAAGACAUUCAGGGCUGAAAGAAUGGAACUCGCUCUAAGGGACCCCAACUGGAUAGGAAUCUUCUGCCUAUGGGGAGUCAACUGGCGCCUUCUUAAAGCAGCUGAAAAUGCAAUGCAGGUAGAUGGAACUGAUAUUACUCAGUCUGUCGAAAAUAAAGAGAAUUCCAG